RNAcentral lists this ribosomal RNA (111 nucleotides) under Prunus dulcis (almond). The record is from RNAcentral. Lineage: Eukaryota; Viridiplantae; Streptophyta; Magnoliopsida; Rosales; Rosaceae.
UUGGGAGCUCACUAGCUUCGGAUUCCAUGGGAACUCCGAAGUUAAGCGAGUUUGGGCUAGAGCAAUCUCAAGAUGGGUGACCCACUGGGAAGUUACUCGUGAGUUCUCAGA